GACGAACGCUGGCGGCGUGCCUAAUACAUGCAAGUAGAACGCACAGUUUAUACCGUAGCUUGCUACACCAUAGACUGUGAGUUGCGAACGGGUGAGUAACGCGUAGGUAACCUGCCUGGUAGCGGGGGAUAACUAUUGGAAGCGAUAGCUAAUACCGCAUAAUAUUAAUUAUUGCAUGAUAAUUAAUUGAAAGGUGCAAUUGCACCACUACCAGAUGGACCUGCGUUGUAUUAGCUAGUAGGUGAGGUAACGGCUCACCUAGGCGACGAUACAUAGCCGACCUGAGAGGGUGAUCCGCCACACUGGGACUGAGACACGGCCCAGACUCCUACGGGAGGCAGCAGUAGGGAAUCUUCGGCAAUGGACGAAAGUCUGACCGAGCAACGCCGCGUGAGUGAAGAAGGUUUUCGGAUCGUAAAGCUCUGUUGUAAGAGAAGAACGGGUGUGAGAGUGGAAAGUUCACACUGUGACGGUAUCUUACCAGAAAGGGACGGCUAACUACGUG
Molecule: ribosomal RNA, 505 nt
Filed under: uncultured bacterium
Lineage: Bacteria
Description: partial 16S ribosomal RNA
Rfam family: Bacterial small subunit ribosomal RNA
Source: RNAcentral